This 285-nucleotide long non-coding RNA is filed under the name Elaeis guineensis (African oil palm). RNAcentral's name for it is "long non-coding RNA (EGUI_LNC049674)". Lineage: Eukaryota; Viridiplantae; Streptophyta; Magnoliopsida; Arecales; Arecaceae. The record is from RNAcentral.
CGCCACCAAGAUUUAGGAUGCCCACCUUUCUCCACACUAAAAAGUAUUGCAUGAGAUUUCUCCAUGCCAUAAGAGUGUUUUGCCCUCCCUUUCUCACAUCCAAAUAUGGGUAAAAUCUGAUCAUAAAAGGUAAGUUUAAAUUUGAUUUGAAUUGGUUACAAUAUAUGGAUAAUGUUUGACCAUAUCCAAAUCUUGCCGCCCACUUCCUUUAUUCUCUUUCUUUUAUGCGAUAAAAGGAGAAAGUUUUCAAUGUGGGAAAUUAGAUAGAGAUCUGAUUUACCAUGA